UUGUUUCCCGUAGGUUAAAUAUUAACUCAGCGUCUUUCCGCCCUGCUGACAAACCAAGAAGGAUUAAUUUACUGCAGAGAAACUGGCUCAGUGAACAGGGAGGGAAAAAACUAAUUCACAUGUAAGGGUAACGGAUUGUGGUCUGGGUUCUGUCACCAUGGCCUCUUCAUCGCCACAUGAACCAGAUCUGUACAACGUGUCACAAUCAGAUUAUGAAUCUGAUGAUGAUGUCACAGCAGAGCGGGACAACUUCAAACGCCAAAACUG
Molecule: long non-coding RNA, 267 nt
Organism: Poecilia latipinna (sailfin molly)
Lineage: Eukaryota; Metazoa; Chordata; Actinopteri; Cyprinodontiformes; Poeciliidae
Exons: 4
Source: RefSeq, a predicted model, not a curated record